UGGGGAAUAUUGGACAAUGGGGGCAACCCUGAUCCAGCAAUGCCGCGUGUGUGAAGAAGGUCUUCGGAUUGUAAAGCACUUUCGACGGGGACGAUGAUGACGGUACCCGUAGAAGAAGCCCCGGCUAACUUCGUGCCAGCAGCCGCGGUAAUACGAAGGGGGCUAGCGUUGCUCGGAAUGACUGGGCGUAAAGGGCGUGUAGGCGGUUUACACAGUCAGAUGUGAAAUCCCCGGGCUUAACCUGGGAGCUGCAUUUGAUACGUGUAGACUAGAGUGUGAGAGAGGGUUGUGGAAUUCCCAGUGUAGAGGUGAAAUUCGUAGAUAUUGGGAAGAACACCGGUGGCGAAGGCGGCAACCUGGCUCAUGACUGACGCUGAGGCGCGAAAGCGUGGGGAGCAAACAGGAUUAGGAUACCCUGGUAGUCCACGCUGUAAACGAUGUGUGCUAGAUGUUGGGUAACUUU
This 463-nucleotide ribosomal RNA is filed under the name uncultured bacterium. RNAcentral's name for it is "partial 16S ribosomal RNA". It matches the Rfam family "Bacterial small subunit ribosomal RNA", at positions 355 to 834 of the family's 1533-position model. The record is from RNAcentral.